RNAcentral lists this ribosomal RNA (210 nucleotides) under uncultured Leptolinea sp. Its description in RNAcentral is "partial 16S ribosomal RNA". It matches the Rfam family "Bacterial small subunit ribosomal RNA", at positions 1174 to 1382 of the family's 1533-position model. The record is from RNAcentral. Lineage: Bacteria; Bacillati; Chloroflexota; Anaerolineae; Anaerolineales; Anaerolineaceae.
GUGGGAUGACGUCAAGUCAGCAUGGCCUUUAUAUCCCUGGGCUACACACACGCUACAAUGGCCAACACAAUAGGUUGCUAAGCCGCGAGGUGGCGCCAAUCCAUAAAGUUGGUCUCAGUUCAGAUUGUAGGCUGCAACCCGCCUGCAUGAAGAUGGAGUUGCUAGUAACCGCAGGUCAGCUAUACUGCGGUGAAUACGUUCCCGGGGCUU